Molecule: long non-coding RNA, 210 nt
Filed under: Elaeis guineensis (African oil palm)
Lineage: Eukaryota; Viridiplantae; Streptophyta; Magnoliopsida; Arecales; Arecaceae
Description: long non-coding RNA (EGUI_LNC077571)
Source: RNAcentral
UGGUAUAUUGGCUAUUCAUAAUGAGGCUAUAUAGUUUGACUGCACAUUCCCUUGAUCCCUAGCCAUAUGGAUCCUUGCUGUGUAUGUUGGCUAUAUAAGUUCAGGUUUGCUAUUUGGAGUAGGAUACACCUAGAUGGAAUCUAUCGACCUUGGUAGAAAAAGAGAAGUCCUAUACGAUUCGUAAGACUGAGUUCAAAAAAAUAUCUGACU